Long non-coding RNA from Bactrocera neohumeralis, 650 nucleotides. RefSeq lists it as uncharacterized. NCBI's taxonomy places the organism in Eukaryota, Metazoa, Arthropoda, Insecta, Diptera, Tephritidae. The transcript has 3 exons. The record is from RefSeq and is a predicted model, not a curated record.
CACAUAUACUACGUUGACUAACUGCCAUUACGUCCGAAAAGUCUAUUUUAAUCAGCUUUCAUCAUUUUAGUAUAGUUAAUUUUAGUAAAUUGUUAAGAGAAAAGGAUUAUUGAAAAUCGCGCUUUUGAAAAUAGUAUAUGACAAAAAUAUCACUCAUACGUCACGGUUCACCACUUGAAGUGCUGUUGGGACGGCAGUGCGUAUGCGCAAUUUUUUCAAUAUGGUAUACACUCGCUGGCAGUAAAUAAAUAUCACUCAUACGUCAGGUGUGUCCUACACAUUUCGUUUCGAGACAGUUUGAUUUGUAUGUCGAGACGUUUCGUGCAAUUCACGUGUGUCUGUAUUCUAGGGAGUAAAAUCAAUAUGAUCGCUGGCUGGGCAAAAGCGGCAGAGGGGCUGAAGAUGGAUAGCAUGCUGAAUUUCAAAUUCAAUUAAAAUUCAAUUAAAUAAUUAUUUGAAUCAAAAUUAAUAGUAAUAAAUAAAAAUUGUGUGCUGAAAUACCUGCAUUCCGUUGAAGACACUUCCAGUUACGCAGUGAUCAUGGCCGAAAUAUUAUUUUUUGUAAAGUCAAAAAACCACCAAGGAAUUGCUUAAGGGCGCAGAGUGACGGCAGGCAAUUGACGUUUAAAUGCUCUCCACCAACUUUUCUC